Molecule: small RNA, 71 nt
Filed under: Xanthomonas oryzae pv. oryzae
Lineage: Bacteria; Pseudomonadati; Pseudomonadota; Gammaproteobacteria; Lysobacterales; Lysobacteraceae
Description: sX9
Rfam family: Xanthomonas sRNA sX9
Source: RNAcentral
AGGUACCCCGCGUCCACUGCGGUUCUGAGCGCGCUGUCCGCGCCCACCUGACAGCUGCUCNGUUGUUAGCC